Triticum urartu is the source of this 1408-nucleotide non-coding RNA. The record is from RefSeq and is a predicted model, not a curated record. Lineage: Eukaryota; Viridiplantae; Streptophyta; Magnoliopsida; Poales; Poaceae.
CUAGGUGGACAUCAUUUGUCAAGGUUUGCACAUAACUACACAUUGAAAAUUCUAGCUGGGUUGAUCUAGAUCUUGGUGCUACUACCUAUCAUCCAUAGCAUCUCCUCUUUUUACCACCAGCCACCACUACCACAAUGUUCCUCACACAAAUCAGGUUGUCCCACCGGCCUACAGAACUUGGAUAUUUGCUACGACAGUCUGCCAUGUGGUGCAUUACUUGGUUGAUGCCCAUCGAGAGUUCAAGACCAAUCCACACUAAGCAUUCUUGAUUCAUUAUUAUUUGCAUUAUUUUCAGAUCCAUUACCUUCUUGCAUAUCGUCAUCUAUGCAGCACAUGCCAACAAGCUCUGUCGACGUGGUGCCUAUAUAGUAAUCUAACAAGGCAGCACCCAUUAUAAAUGAUUUUCUAUGCAUCUCGAUUUCAUCCAAUAUCAAAGAUUUUUUAUCUCGAUUUUCUUAUGUAUAUCACAUGCAUAUCAGAGAAGUCACAUCCGCUUAACUAUCAUGUAUCACAAAGUUAGGCAGUAGUAGAAUAAGAUCAUACAGCUGCCUGUUAUUUUAGAUAAUAUGAUGUAUAGUAAGGUGCCGGUUUGCAGGAAAUAAAGCACAAUUGUGACACGAAAAGUUUGAACAUAACCAACGUGGUUUUAUCUUGCAUUCAUGAGACUCUCCUUUAAAGUGUUAUCUUUUCACACAGAGAGACAUACGAGGCCAUGAGGGCAUCCUAUAGACAAAAAGAACAUUCGAGGAAUUAAAAAAUUGAAUCGUCUCCACAGAACAAACUGCAAGCUUUGAAAUCAUUGAAGUGUUGGCAAUUCCGUAAUCUCUUAACAUAGGCUGCCGUCAUCAUGCCUCUCAGGUAGGCUAAUCCUUUUCUCCAUCAAGUUGUUCAUUACGUUCACGACAGUGAGUAGCACAGAACCUAAACAAAUGUAUAAUGUUGUCUGUUGAUGUCCCCACCACGAAGGCCCGGAGGCUCUGUUCAUAAUCACCUCUCGCCAUAUCUAGGGAGGAUUAUGGUCUAGGCAGAGCGGUGCAUGAUGCUGUAGUGUGGCUAUUGUCAAUGACACUGUCGUGAUGUUGUCCACUUUGUACCGAUGGUUCGAAAGCGACGCAAUGACAUCAUGUUUCUUCUCCUCGGCGAGUUUAUUAUUUUUCAUAGACCUCAUGGUAUAAAUAUAAGUUCUUGGCUCUUCUUCCACUCGAUCAUAUUCAUCUACAUCUACUUGGUUGAAAUAUAUUUUUUCCUGACUGAAUACCUUGCUUCUGUACAACUGCUAUGUAGGAGCAGAGUACCGAGGGCUGAGGAGACAAGUGCUGGAGAGGGUGGCAUGCAUCAGGAUGAGAGGGAAGAAAGUGCUGGAGGAUGUAAACAUCUGGAGGAACAUGUAUAGAGUGGUUCUUUGUGG